This 484-nucleotide ribosomal RNA is filed under the name uncultured bacterium. RNAcentral describes it as "partial 16S ribosomal RNA". It matches the Rfam family "Bacterial small subunit ribosomal RNA", at positions 29 to 507 of the family's 1533-position model. The record is from RNAcentral.
AUUGAACGCUGGCGGCAUGCUUUACACAUGCAAGUCGAACGGCAGCGCGGGCUUCGGCCUGGCGGCGAGUGGCGAACGGGUGAGUAAUACAUCGGAACGUGCCCAGUAGUGGGGGAUAGCUCGGCGAAAGCCGGAUUAAUACCGCAUACGACCUGAGGGUGAAAGCGGGGGAUCUUCGGACCUCGCGCUCUUGGAGCGGCCGAUGGCAGAUUAGCUAGUUGGUGGGGUAAAGGCCUACCAAGGCGACGAUCUGUAGCUGGUCUGAGAGGACGACCAGCCACACUGGGACUGAGACACGGCCCAGACUCCUACGGGAGGCAGCAGUGGGGAAUUUUGGACAAUGGGCGAAAGCCUGAUCCAGCAAUGCCGCGUGGGUGAUGAAGGCCUUCGGGUUGUAAAGCACUUUUGGCGGGAACGAAAAGGACUGGGCCAAUACCACGGUUCGAUGACGGUACCCGCAGAAUAAGCACCGGCUAACUACGUG